This 329-nucleotide long non-coding RNA is filed under the name Prunus persica (peach). RNAcentral describes it as "long non-coding RNA (PPER_LNC005018)". The record is from RNAcentral. Lineage: Eukaryota; Viridiplantae; Streptophyta; Magnoliopsida; Rosales; Rosaceae.
GCAGCCAAGGCUGUGUCUCUGGUGCUGCCUCAACUCAAAGGAAAGCUCAAUGGAAUUGCCCUCCGUGUGCCAACACCUAAUGUAUCAGUGGUUGACCUUGUGAUUAAUGUUGAGAAGAAAGGUAUUUCAGCAGAAGAUGUCAAUGCAGCCUUCAGAAAGGCAGCCGAGGGACCACUGCAGGGCAUAUUAGCAGUGUGUGACAUUCCUCUUGUGUCGGUAGACUUCAGGUGCACCGAUGUUUCCUCCACCAUAGACUCCUCCUUGACCAUGGUCAUGGGUGAUGAUAUGGUCAAGGUGGUUGCCUGGUACGACAACGAAUGGGGAUACAG